GACGAACGCUGGCGGCGUGCUUAACACAUGCAAGUCGUACGGUAAGGCCCUUUCGGGGGUACACGAGUGGCGAACGGUUGCGUAACACGUGAGUAACCUGCCCACUCCUUUGUUAUAACGCUAGUAACCUGGUGCUACUACUGCAUAUGUCCUCCUGCUGCAUGGUGGGGGUUGGAAAGCUCUGGGGGUGGUGGGUGGUCUCGCGGGCUAUCAGCUUGUUGGGGGGGUAGUGGCCUACCAAGGCGGCGACGGGUAGCUGGACAGAGAGUGUGACCGGCGACAUUGGGACUGAGGUACGGCCCAGACGCCGACGGGAGGAAGAAGGGGGGAAGAUUGAACAAGGGGCGCAAGGCGGAUGCAGCAGCGCCGCGGGCGGGAUGACGGCUUUCGGGGUGUAGAACGGUUUCAGCAGGGACGAAGCUUGUUGUGACGGUACCUGAAGAAGAAGCACCGGCUAACUACGUG
This 465-nucleotide ribosomal RNA is filed under the name uncultured bacterium. RNAcentral describes it as "partial 16S ribosomal RNA". It matches the Rfam family "Bacterial small subunit ribosomal RNA", at positions 28 to 507 of the family's 1533-position model. The record is from RNAcentral.